UGGGGAAUAUUGGACAAUGGGGGAAACCCUGAUCCAGCCAUGCCGCGUGAGUGAUGAAGGCCUUCGGGUUGUAAAGCUCUUUUGGUAGGGACGAUGAUGACGGUACCUACAGAAUAAGCUCCGGCUAACUUCGUGCCAGCAGCCGCGGUAAUACGAAGGGAGCUAGCGUUGUUCGGAGUUACUGGGCGUAAAGGGCGCGUAGGCGGUUUGAUAAGUCAGAUGUGAAAGCCCUGGGCUUAACCCAGGAAUUGCGUUUGAGACUGUCAGGCUUGAAUUCGGGAGAGGUGAGUGGAAUUCCCAGUGUAGAGGUGAAAUUCGUAGAGAUUGGGAAGAACACCCGUGGCGAAGGCGGCUCACUGGACCGACAUUGACGCUGAGGCGCGAAAGCGUGGGGAGCAAACA
Molecule: ribosomal RNA, 402 nt
Filed under: uncultured prokaryote
Description: bacterial SSU rRNA
Rfam family: Bacterial small subunit ribosomal RNA
Source: RNAcentral